GACGAACGCUGGCGGCGUGCUUAACACAUGCAAGUCGAACGCUGAAGCUCAGCUUUUGUUGGGUGGAUGAGUGGCGAACGGGUGAGUUACACGUGAGUAACCUGCCCCCUUCUUUGGGAUAACGCCCGGAAACGGGUGCUAAUACUGGAUAUUCACUGGUCUUCGCAUGGGGGUUGGUGGAAAGGGUUUUUCUGGUGGGGGAUGGGCUCGCGGCCUAUCAGCUUGUUGGUGGGGUGAUGGCCUACCAAGGCUUUGACGGGCAGCCGGCCUGAGAGGGUGACCGGUCACAUUGGGACUGAGAUACGGCCCAGACUCCUACGGGAGGCAGCAGUGGGGAAUAUUGCACAAUGGGCGCAAGCCUGAUGCAGCGACGCCGCGUGAGGGAUGGAGGCCUUCGGGUUGUGAACCUCUUUCGCUCAUGGUCAAGCCGCAACAAUGGUUGUGGUGAGGGUAGUGGGUAAAGAAGCGCCGGCUAACUACGUG
This 483-nucleotide ribosomal RNA is filed under the name uncultured bacterium. RNAcentral's name for it is "partial 16S ribosomal RNA". It matches the Rfam family "Bacterial small subunit ribosomal RNA", at positions 28 to 507 of the family's 1533-position model. The record is from RNAcentral.